This 271-nucleotide ribosomal RNA is filed under the name uncultured prokaryote. Its description in RNAcentral is "partial 16S ribosomal RNA". It matches the Rfam family "Bacterial small subunit ribosomal RNA", at positions 524 to 794 of the family's 1533-position model. The record is from RNAcentral.
UACGUAGGUGGCGAGCGUUGUCCGGAUUUACUGGGCGUAAAGGGCAAGUAGGCGGUUGUUCAAGUUGGGCGUGACAGAUCUCGGCUUAACUGAGGAAGGUCGUCCAAUACUGAGCGACUAGAGGGCAGGAGAGGAAAGUGGAACUCCCGAUGUAGCGGUGGAAUGCUCAGAUAUCGGGAAGAACACCAGUGGCGAAGGCGGCUUUCUGGCCUGCACCUGACGCUGAGAGGCGAAAGCUAGGGUAGCAAACGGGCUUAGAUACCCCGGUAGU